AGAGUUUGAUCCUGGCUCAGAAUCAACGCUGGCGGCGUGCCUCAGACAUGCAAGUCGAACGAUUAAGACUUCCUUCGGGAAGUGCAUAAAGUGGCGCACGGGUGAGUAACACGUAAGUAAUCUACCUUCGAGUGGGGAAUAACGUCCGGAAACGGACGCUAAUACCGCAUAAUGCAGCGGCAUCGAAAGAUGACAGUUGUUAAAGGAGCAAUUCGCUUGAAGAGGAGCUUGCGGCAGAUUAGCUAGUUGGUAAGGUAAUGGCUUACCAAGGCUACGAUCUGUAACCGGUCUAAGAGGACGGUCGGUCACACUGACACUGAAUAACGGGUCAGACUCCUACGGGAGGCAGCAGUCGGGAAUUUUGGGCAAUGGGCGAAAGCCUGACCCAGCAACGCCGCGUGAAGGAUGAAGUAUUUCGGUAUGUAAACUUCGAAAGAAUAGGAAGAAUUAAUGACGGUACUAUUUAUAAGGUCCGGCUAACUACGUGCCAGCAGCCGCGGUAAUACGUAGGGACCAAGCGUUGUUCGGAUUUACUGGGCGUAAAGGGCGCGUAGGCGGCAUGACAAGUCACUUGUGAAAUCUCCGGGCUUAACUCGGAACGGUCAAGUGAUACUGUCGCGCUAGAGUGCGGAAGGGGCAAUCAGAAUUCUUGGUGUAGCGGUGAAAUGCAGAUAUCAAGAGGAAUACCUGAGGUGAAGACGGGUUGCUAGGCCGACACUGACGCUGAAGCGCCGAAGCAAGGGGAGCAACGGGAUUAGAUACCCGGGUAGUCC
This 773-nucleotide ribosomal RNA is filed under the name uncultured bacterium. Its description in RNAcentral is "bacterial SSU rRNA". It matches the Rfam family "Bacterial small subunit ribosomal RNA", at positions 8 to 796 of the family's 1533-position model. The record is from RNAcentral.